AAAAAUAAACAAUGCAGUAAUAGCCAGUAGAGAAUAGCAUAGCAUACAUAAUCGUAUCCACAAAGAAACAGAACUCAAUAUAUUCGGGGGUAUUUAUUUUAAAUUAUCAGCAAACAACCCCAACGUUUCCAUCAUGGGCUUGACCUUUUCCCGC
RNAcentral lists this non-coding RNA (154 nucleotides) under Chaetoceros dichaeta. Lineage: Eukaryota; Bacillariophyta; Thalassiosirophyceae; Chaetocerotales; Chaetocerotaceae. The record is from RNAcentral.